This 3601-nucleotide long non-coding RNA is filed under the name Heterocephalus glaber (naked mole-rat). Its description in RNAcentral is "lncRNA (ENSHGLG00100047460.1)". Lineage: Eukaryota; Metazoa; Chordata; Mammalia; Rodentia; Bathyergidae. The record is from RNAcentral.
AGCUGUGAGGGCGAGGCCAGCAGAGAGCUUCGGGAGGGACGGGCUCAGACAGGCUGGCUAGAGGGCUACAGGGAACUGGAAUAAAUAUCAGCCUUGUGAGAAGCCUGGGGGCUGGGAGUGGAGUGUGCCAGAUGAGAGAUUUGGAUGGGCAGAAAGCAGGCUUUUUGGACCUGGCUGCGCAGGCAUGGAGGUGCCUUGGCUGAAAAUAUGUGAUUGGGGAGUCAGAACCAAGAAGGUUUGGACUGUAGAUAUCCGUUCAGUGUAUGGCAGUACCCGUCUAUGCAAGGCGUAGUUCAUAGGGAUGAGGUCGGGAAACCCAGUGGCAUAGAAGUGCGCUGAGUAGCUUACAGUUUGGUUUGAAAAGAUAAAGAGCCAGGCUAUAAACUGGUGCCACCUGGAGAGGGUGUGAUCAGGCUCUUGAGAUCUGUUGAUACCAUCUCUUAGGCGUAGCUUGUGGCAGACAAGGCGCAAUGUUUUGAAGAGGAAAGACCACCCUUCCUAAUAGGCUUCAGGGAAGGCUUCCUGGAGAUGGCGGAGCUUCAGCAGGCUUGGAAGGCAAGGCUUUGAAAAUGCAGAGUGAUGUGGUCCAGGGGGGUGCCCACAGUGCCCUGGGCCAUGGCCAGGAGGAGGCCCACAAGGUCCUGGUGGGUGGACUCCCCCAGGACAGUGCCCUGGGCCAUGGCCAUGGGGAGGCCCACCAUGUCCUGGUGGGUGGAUUCCUUCAGGACAGUGCCCUGGACCGUGACCAUGGGGGUGCCCAUGACCAUGGGGGUGCCCAUGACCAGGAGGGUGGCUUGGAGGAGGACCACCAUGGCAGUGCCCCUGUGGAAAGCCAGAUGAGCAAUAUCAAAGCUUGAAGUCAAUGCCAGUUUUACCUGCAAUCAACUCCUCUUCACCCCACCACCCCAGGGGAUUAGGACUCCUGGACACCAGUGUAGGGUUGUAGUGGAGGGCUGGGGUAGAAAGUUACUGGGCUUUUUGCUUUGAUGAAGCCACUUGAGCACUGAGCAGACAAAAGGGGAGGAACCUUGAUUUAUGUGUUCUGAUUCCUUGAGCUAAGCCAGGACUCCUAGUCUCUGGAUCUCAGUUUAUUUUAUCUGUAAUUAAGAAGCAGAAUUAUCCCAUCUUUCCCCUUUGUUCACCCAGGAACUCUUGCAGGGAUUAGAAGUUUUGCCAUGCUAGAACUGUAGACUCAACUGAGCUUAGGAGCAGGGAUGUGGCUGGGAGAGGAGCUCCCCGUGGGUUGGGGCAGGGAGAUGCUAGGCCAGACUGGAGGAGACCAAGGGUAGAAGGUGUGUUCUCUGCUAUGUAGUGAAUGCACACAUUAUUUGUGUGUGUCUACAUACAAAUGGCUCUGUUUGAGUACCUGUGCAUAGGUGGGUGCAUGUAAAGGCCUGUUGUGUACUCACAUAUGUGCAUGCUUGUGUAUAUAUGAUGAUGGGUGUGUGGUGAGCCCAUGCCUCCCUCCAGCAGGGUCCAGACCAAAGGAAUCAGGAAGAACAGAAAGUAAAGUCUCAGUUUUACCCCUCACUUAGAAGAGGCCUGGGAAAUGUAUGGUUUAACCUGCCUUGUCUGGAACCACUCCUGAAGCCCCAAGGGAGUGUCUUGUCUCUAGUUACAGGCCCAGGGAAAUGGAUACACCAUCUUGCCUCUGACCUGGGGCCUGGGGCCCUAUGGAGAAGGGGUGCAGUAGCUCCCCUCUAAGUCUCCAUUAGGUCUUCAUUAGGGCUCCAGACUGCCGGGUUCCUGUGACCAUGAAAGAGCAGUCCCUGCCUCAUCCGGCCACUUCCUUCCUCUCCUUCUAUGGCUCUUUUUGUGGGGAGGCCCCAGAGCCAGGCCUGGGAGCCAGUCAGCUCUGGUAGCUAAUGGGGAGGGGGACACCCAUGGCAGAAGCCUGUCCUAGGGACCUGGCAGUGUGGCUGGGGCUUGGGAGCAAGCCAGACAUCCAGCAAGGCUGUGGGGGUAGCAGCCAGGAAAGCAGAGGAACAGAACAGGAGGGGAAGCAGCAGGAGAGAGGAUGGGCUGCUGGAGCAGGGAGGGGAAGUGAGGAAAGGAGAGAGACAGAUGGGAAAACAGAGGAGAGAAGCCAAGGAGAGGGCUGCAGCCAACAGGGCCUGGAUGAAUGCCCCGCCUCACUUGGCUGCUGCCUAAUCCUGCACUUGAUUUUUUUUUUUUUUAAGGGAAGUGGGGGUCUAGGUAGGAGGUAGGAGAUCUGGAGAACAUGGCAUUUGGGGGGAAGAAGGGGAGAGGGCUGGGGAACUUUCUUACCUUCCGACCUGUGGGAGAGAAAGAAGAAAGAAGUAGCUUUGGUCAUUUGAUCAUAUCGAUUCUGUGUCCACACCCCCACCCAUAGCAAGGCUCUUCAGAGUUGGUCACUUGCCUAAGAACCAUUCCUUCAUUUGUCACCCAACAACAGAUUCAUAUUGAAAGUCAAUAUGAAAUUCAGCAUGCAUCCCAUGAGCUCAAGAGCUGGCAGAGCGCUCUGGGUGGUGUGGGGUGUGGCCCAAGGCUGGAUGCUUGUCUGAGGCCUGGCAGCUGUCUGCUCACCUAACCAGUGCUGCAAUCCCUGAUCCUUCCUCUGCCACAUGGUCUCUCCAUUGGUCCCCUCAUGUCCCCUAUAUCCAGCCCAGUCUUUCCUCAGCCCCUCAGAGCCACUUGUUGGCUCCUUGCUCACAACUCUGGUCUCACUGCUGCCUCUUGGCACUUAGUAAUUUCUCCAGCUCCACUCUGCCUUGCUUCCUGCCAGAAAUCCACUCGGCAUGGCCGUGCAGCCUCCUAGCUGUGGGCCCAGUGGGCUGUUUCUGCAGUAGCCACCUGAGUGGUCUGAAGUAUGGCUUCUUGGUGCGUUUUUUUCAUGCUCUUGGAGGGUAGUCAACAGCAUGGCUGCGAACAGCUGGAUUCUGGGCUCCAGACCUGGCCCUGCUUCUGGGCCUCACCGCUAGCAUGACCCCUGAGUUCCCUGGGCCUCCAGUACAAGGAGAGGAGCAGCUGCCUGUUUUCUUCUUGAGAGGGAAGAUCUAGCCAAUGAAGGCUGUGUGAACGUGUUUCUUAAGCUGUAAAGCAUUGCGCCGAAUGGAAGGGGCCAUUUACAUGGCAGAGCCCCACCACCACGUCUGCGUACCCACAUACCCACAGGUCUUUGGCAUCUGGUAGAUAUGGCUGGCUGCCAGCCCCAAGCCUUCAACACUGUUCUUCCUUCUCCCACCCCAGAGCCUCCCAGCCAUGCUGCUUACCUGGAUCCAUCUUUGUGGGGCAGGAGCAGGAAGUGACACAGAAACACCUGGAAUUCAACAGAGUUUUAGUUUCUGGUGAUCUCAGUCUGUCUCCUUCCUUGUUCUCUUCCGGGGAUAUACACACACAGCCCCUUCAAAGCAUGCGUGGGCUCAGACUGUUCCCUCUGGUCUAGCCUGGCACCUCGUGUGGAACUGGCACUCCAGGUGCUUCCAUAGGUGUUAAAUGGAUGCAGAGGUUUCACCCACAAGGGGAGAGAAAAGAGACAAGAAUUGCAUUGGCCUCUGGGUCCCUUACAACUUCCCGACCCCAGAUUCACCUGCAGACUCAUGAGCAUGUUAAUUCAUUUCCAUUGGGGUCGAUUUCAAUC